GACGAACGCUGGCGGCGUGCUUAACACAUGCAAGUCGAACGGAAAGGCCCUGCUUUUGUGGGUUGCUCGAGUGGCGCACGCGUGAGUAACACGUGAGUAACCUGCCCUUGACUUUGGGAUAUCUUCAGGAAACUGCGGCUCAUAUCGGGUAUGAGCUCCUGCUGCAUGGUGGGGGUUGGAGAGUUUCGGCUGUUCUGGAUGGACUCGCGGGUUCUGGGCUUGUUGGUGGGGUAGUGGCUUACCAAAGCUUUGACGGAUAGCCGGCCUGAGAGGGUGACCGGGCACAUUAGGACUGAGAGAGGGACCAGACUCCUACGGGAGGCAGCAGUGGGGAAUAUUGCGGAAUGGGCGGAAGCGUGAGGCAGCAGCGUCGCGUGCGGGAUGACGGCCUUCGGGUGAUAAACCGAUUUCGACGGUGACGAAGAGUGAGUGACGGUAAUGGAUAAAGAAGCACCGGCUAACUACGUG
RNAcentral lists this ribosomal RNA (468 nucleotides) under uncultured bacterium. Its description in RNAcentral is "partial 16S ribosomal RNA". It matches the Rfam family "Bacterial small subunit ribosomal RNA", at positions 28 to 507 of the family's 1533-position model. The record is from RNAcentral.